Haliotis rubra (blacklip abalone) is the source of this 1091-nucleotide long non-coding RNA. RefSeq lists it as uncharacterized. NCBI's taxonomy places the organism in Eukaryota, Metazoa, Mollusca, Gastropoda, Lepetellida, Haliotidae. The transcript has 3 exons. The record is from RefSeq and is a predicted model, not a curated record.
UGUCUCGGGACAGAGGUAGGCCUUAUGAACGUGGAUCAGGGAGAAUUUGUGCUAUGAAAGACUGUACAAAUAGCCAGAGAAAUCUACGUAUAUGGAAGGAAUUGCCCUGUACAGUCCAUAAACUGCCACGGAAGGACUGCCCUUGUUUGUUUCCCUAUCAUCUCCAUAGGUUUCCUGUGAAUGAAGAUCGUCGUCGUGUUUGGGUGUCACGUGUUAAUCGGAAGGAUUUUCACCCAUCUGAUAGCAGUGUGAUAUGCUCAAUUCAUUUUUUGGAUGGCCAUCCAAGCAAACAAAAUCCUGAUCCAGUCUUAAAUUUGGGAUAUCAAAGAAAGGUGACACAAGGGAGAAGGACCAUUUUCCGACACCCCUCUCUGAUGUUUCUCGGACCCCAAGGAGCAAUCAACUGACUGAGGAGUGCCAUGCUGAAGCUGAACUGACAGAUCAACCUGUAUCUCAAGCUGAAGAGAAGGAAAAGGAGAAUGAUGACUCCAGACCAAGUGAUUGUGACUGUUGUAAACAGAAGUCUUGUUUUUGUCUUCACAGACCUAUGAUAAAAGUUCCAAACAGAACUGUAGGAGUACAGGUUCAUUUUAACAAGUCAGUAGAUCACCAUUAUGCAACCCAGCACUACACGACCAAAACAAAGAAUGUCUCUGUUCAGGUUAAUUUUCCUGCCUUUUCUGCAGACAGUAUUAAGACUAACACUGAUUCUGUGUUUUACACUGGUCUUACUCUACAAGUGUUUCUGUCAAUAAUAACUUAUCUUACAUCUGUACUGCGGUCAAACAUUAAGAUGCCACUCUCAGAUCAAACACUACUCACACUUAUGAGACUUAGGCUUGGAAUUCAGUUUCAUGAUCUCGGGAGAAGAUUUUCAAUUUCCACGCAAUUAGCAAGUAAAAUUUUUGGAAUUUGUAUCUCAAUUUUAGCCAGAAAGCUAAAGGAUUGCAUUGUUUGGCUCCCAAGAGAUGUUAUUAGAUCUGCAAUGCCAAUGUCCUUUAAGACUACCUAUCCACACACUACCUGCAUUAUUGACUGUACAGAAAUGUUCUUGCAACGUCCAUUUUCAUUGAAGGUUAGAGCUCAAACCU